This 305-nucleotide ribosomal RNA is filed under the name uncultured bacterium. Its description in RNAcentral is "bacterial SSU rRNA". It matches the Rfam family "Bacterial small subunit ribosomal RNA", at positions 335 to 637 of the family's 1533-position model. The record is from RNAcentral.
GUCCCUACGGGGCGCAGCAGUAGAGAAUUUUCGUCAAUGGGCGCAAGCCUGAACCAGCCAAGUCGCGUGAGGGAAUAAGGCCCUACGGGUCGUAAACCUCUUUUGCCGGGGAGCAAGGGCCGGGACGCGUCCCGGCCCGGAGAGUACCCGGAGAAAAAGCAUCGGCUAACUCCGUGCCAGCAGCCGCGGUAAUACGGAGGAUGCGAGCGUUAUCCGGAUUUAUUGGGUUUAAAGGGUGCGUAGGCGGGCUUUUAAGUCAGCGGUAAAAAUUCGGGGCUCAACCCCGUCCGGCCGUUGAAACUGGG